AGCAGCCGCGGUAAUUCCAGCUCCAAUAGCGUAUAUUAAAGUUGUUGCAGUUAAAAAGCUCGUAGUUGAAUUUCGGGGUUCAUCCGUUGGUCGGGCUUUUUUGGUCUGUACUGGCGUGAUGGAUUCCUACCUUCUGAAUAACCGGCAUGUCAUUAAUUUGGUGCGCUGGGGAAGCAGGACUGUUACCUUGAAAAAUUAGAGUGCUUAAAGCAGGCUAUCGCCUGAAUACAUUAGCAUGGAAUAAUGAAAUAGGACGGCAUGGUUCUAUUUUGUUGGUUUCUAGGAUCACCGUAAUGAUUAAUAGGGAUAGUUGGGGGCAUUAGUAUUCAAUUGUCAGAGGUGAAAUUCUGGAUUUAUUGAAGGCUAACUUCUGCGAAAGCAUUUGCCAAGGAUGUUUCAUUAAUCAAGAACGAAAGUUAGGGGAUCGAAGACGGAUCAGAUACCGUCGUAGUCUUAAACCAUAAACUAUGCCGACUAGGGAUCGGACGAUGUUAAUUUUAAUGACUCGUUCGCGGUACCG
Molecule: ribosomal RNA, 520 nt
Filed under: uncultured Glomeromycotina
Lineage: Eukaryota; Fungi; Glomeromycota
Description: SSU rRNA
Rfam family: Eukaryotic small subunit ribosomal RNA
Source: RNAcentral